Non-coding RNA from Salmo trutta (river trout), 72 nucleotides. NCBI's taxonomy places the organism in Eukaryota, Metazoa, Chordata, Actinopteri, Salmoniformes, Salmonidae. The record is from Ensembl.
CAGAGUGUAGCUAAAAUAGGAAAGCACCUCCCUUACACCGAGAAGACAUCCGUGCAAAUCGGGUCACCCUGA